Molecule: long non-coding RNA, 873 nt
Organism: Carassius gibelio (silver crucian carp)
Lineage: Eukaryota; Metazoa; Chordata; Actinopteri; Cypriniformes; Cyprinidae
Exons: 4
Source: RefSeq, a predicted model, not a curated record
AUCUGUGCCAGAUUUUGACAGUGUAAAUGUAGCCUGUUCUCAGAUCUCGGGCCCUCGGCUCCACAGAUGAAUCGUGGGCUGUGAUCUUCGUCCAUGGCAGGGCUUCAGCUCGCCCUCAUGUCUGCCAUCUGAUUCUACACCUGCCAAACAACAUGACCUCAUCGGCACGGCACGUUUCCCAGUUACACCUGGACACAGAGAAAGACAUUGACAAAUGCAUGAAGAGAAGCAAAAAAGAAUGAAAUCCGGGACCUGUAAAUUAUUUAUCUUCUUUUGUCAGCCCAUCAGAGAGAUCGUCGUUAGCCCUGUUUAAGCAUUUCAACAUCGGCUGGAUUGGCUCUUGAUUUGACUCUGAAGAGGCUGAGAGUGACAGAGAUGUGUGAAUGUCCCAGCAGAGGAUUCGAUCUGCACCGCAGGCCAAGUGUGCUGAAAUACACCCUUUAAUCUGCCAAUUAUCACUUGAUACAGCGAGUGCUUUUGAAGAAGAACUAAUCAUUGGAUUUGCCAAAGUUUGCCAUCAGGCGUACUACUCUGGCUGUGACAUCAUCAUCCUGGGGAGGGACUUUGAGAGGAUUCAGAUCAUCCCAGGAGCCAUACACGGGAACAUCCAGGUGGACACACACACACACACACACACACACGGUUCUGGCGUCCAAACAACAUCAAGGUCUUUAUAAACUGUUACAGCACUGACUCAAGAGUGACACAUAGCAUAGCUUUUAGCCUCAUCAUUGCAGUUUGAGGUUUAGGAAUUAGUUUUUUUAUGUUUAUGUCAGUUUUAAUAAUUUUAGCAUUUCAACUUUUUCGUAAAAAUGUACUACUUUAAUUUUAGUACUGUUUUCAUUUAAUUUAUAGUGCUUUUUACUUUACAAA